RNAcentral lists this long non-coding RNA (396 nucleotides) under Eucalyptus grandis. Its description in RNAcentral is "long non-coding RNA (EGRA_LNC007884)". Lineage: Eukaryota; Viridiplantae; Streptophyta; Magnoliopsida; Myrtales; Myrtaceae. The record is from RNAcentral.
UUAAAUUACUAAUAAAUACAAUACAUAAUCUCUUUAUUUCAUUCCACUUUAUAUUACAUGAGAGUAAAGACCAAAAUCAAAAGAUUGAUGGUCUGACAAUGUAGCUACACGACCGCAUUUAUAAAACAUUAUUUUACCAUAACAUACACGCGCAUCAUUUCCAUUAUAUUCCCAAUUUCUCCACCGACGCUGGUGCCUCCCCACCAAUGCCACUACGGCGGACUUCCCCUUCCUGUAUCCUCACCUCUUCCACCGCCUCCACCUCAACCUAUCCUGCCGCCGCUGCCUCCAAUACCUCCCCCUACUCCUCCUCCGAUGCCGCCGCCAACCCCACCUCCUACUCCACCGCCUCCACUUCCUCUUCCACCACCAUGUCCACCACCUCCUCCUCCUACG